Molecule: long non-coding RNA, 163 nt
Organism: Sapajus apella (tufted capuchin)
Lineage: Eukaryota; Metazoa; Chordata; Mammalia; Primates; Cebidae
Exons: 3
Source: RefSeq, a predicted model, not a curated record
GCAGAGUGGAGAGGACACCACUGGGGGAAAAACAAGAGUACUUUUUUUUUAGAUGUGUUCAAAAUGCCUUUGAGAAUCACAAUUGCAGACCUCAAUCUAAGAUCAGUUUAUUUUUGAUUUGUAUGAAAAAUUGAGGUACUCUUUUUAAAAUAAUUUACUCACA